UCUCAGCAUGCUUCGAGUCACUAAGUCUCGACACCUCUCAGAAACCACCGGUUAGCAAAAGAGGAAAAAAAUGCAAGAAAAAAGAGAAAACAAAGGAAAGAAAGAAAGCUCUUCAUUUGAUAUUGAGAAUAGGAGACGUCAUGAAGAAGACCCUCAGUGCUCGGCCGCUGGCGUAGCAUGAAGUGUAGGCAUGGCAUCGAACCCUAUGACUACUUGGUGCGUGAAGACUGUCCAGGGUUUCAUAUUCUCUCCACGGCUUUCGUUGUUUCUUCGGAAUGCGUUAGUUGCUUCACACCUAUUCAAAUGUCAACAGCGACCACUACAACUUCAGGAUGCUGAUCCUUGACAGUUGCACGUCAAUGGCUCGUUCUGGAAACAGUAAUGGUCGUUUGUUGGUCUAGAUACUUCGAUGUAUUUUGUAUUAUGAUUGAGGUGCUUAGUUUGACUGAAUUUACAGAGAAUAAAAUUUAUAUAGACAAUUCCAUACAUAUAAAAAUAUGAAAAUAUAACUGAUGAUGUAUCCAAUGACAUGCAUUUGGUAAGUUAAAUGNN
Molecule: long non-coding RNA, 552 nt
Filed under: Hordeum vulgare
Lineage: Eukaryota; Viridiplantae; Streptophyta; Magnoliopsida; Poales; Poaceae
Description: long non-coding RNA (HVUL_LNC017267)
Source: RNAcentral